This 737-nucleotide ribosomal RNA is filed under the name uncultured archaeon. RNAcentral describes it as "bacterial SSU rRNA". The stretch from base 178 to 685 matches the Rfam family "Archaeal small subunit ribosomal RNA", at positions 830 to 1343 of the family's 1478-position model. The record is from RNAcentral.
GUAGACUCUCAAGAGCGGGUGGCGAGACGCAGGUGGGAGAUAUCCUACUCAGAGACCCGGGAGGUCCCUGACGAUCGCGUGAGGAGACCUGUGCACGAUAGAACCUCGUAGUCAGGUUAACGUGCAGACUGUUGGGCCUACGGGGCGUCAGUGCCGAGAGAAGUGUAAGUCUGCUACUGGGAGUACGUCCGCAAGGAUGAAACUAAAGGAAUGGCGGGGAGCACCGCAACGGGAGGAGCGUGCGGUUUAAUUGGAUUCAACACCGGAAAACUCACCAGCGGCGACUGUUACAUGAAAGUCAGGCCGAUGACCUUACUAGAUUUUCAGAGAGGUGGUGCAUGGCCGUCGUCAGUUCGUACCGUAAGGCGUUCUCUUAAGUGAGAGUACGAACGAGACCCUCACCAAUAGUUGCUACCCAGUCCUCCGGGGCUAGGGCACACUAUUGGGACCGCUGGCGCUAAGUCAGAGGAAGGAGAGGUCAACGGUAGGUCAGUAUGCCCCGAAUCUGCAAAAAAACACGCGCGCUACAAAGGGCGGGACAAUGGGCUCCGACACCGAAAGGUGAAGGUAAUCCCGAAACCCGUCCGUAGUUCGGAUUGAGGGUUGUAACUCACCCUCAUGAAGCUGGAUUCCGUAGUAAUCGCGAAUCAACAACUCGCGGUGAAUAUGCCCCUGCUCCUGCACGCGCCGUAAUCUAGUGCACCGCGAGGGCGAGCUCGAAUCACGGCCGCGUACAC